UCCUCGAUCUGCUGCGGGCAGAUGAAGUGGAUGUGGGUAUCGACCCCGCCGGCCGUGACGAUCAUGCCUUCGCCGGCGAUGAUCUCGGUGGCGCCGCCGAUCGGCAGGUCCACGCCCGGCUGGAUGUCGGGAUUGCCGGCCUUGCCGAUGCCGGCGAUCAGCCCGUCCCGGAUGCCGAUGUCGGCCUUGACGAUGCCCCAGUGGUCGACGAUCACGGCGUUGGUGAUCACGGUGUCCAUGACCUGCUCGCGCGGCAGCUGCGACUGGCCCAUGCCGUCGCGGA
Molecule: small RNA, 283 nt
Filed under: Massilia sp. WF1
Lineage: Bacteria; Pseudomonadati; Pseudomonadota; Betaproteobacteria; Burkholderiales; Oxalobacteraceae
Description: 5' ureB small RNA
Rfam family: 5' ureB small RNA
Source: Rfam by way of RNAcentral